CAAUAUCCUUCUUUUCUUUUUUUUUUUUGCAGUGGAUAGAAAUUUCUGUAAUAGCGCUUUUAAGAUUCUUUCUACACACAUAUAUCUAUAAUUAUACUGUAAUUACAAGAUUAGCCAGUAGUCAGUAUCCUGGCUUAAACUGCCCUAUAUAAAUUUUCUUUCUUGUGUUCUGCAUUUGAUAAGACAUUUAAUUUGUUGCAAAGAUGUAAUAAAUUGACAAUAUUCUAUACUUUUACUCCUUUCUUUGCCUGGCGAGUGAUUGCUUCAAAG
This 270-nucleotide unclassified non-coding RNA is filed under the name Hevea brasiliensis (rubber tree). Lineage: Eukaryota; Viridiplantae; Streptophyta; Magnoliopsida; Malpighiales; Euphorbiaceae. The record is from RNAcentral.